CCUACGGGUGGCAGCAGUGGGGGAUAUUGGACAAUGGGGGAAACCCUGAUCCAGCGACGCCGCGGGAGUGAAGAAGUAUUUCGGUAUGUAAAGCUCUAUCAGCAGGGAAGAAAGAAAUGACGGUACCUGAGUAAGAAGCCCCGGCUAACUACGUGCCAGCAGCCGCGGUAAUACGGAGGGGGCAAGCGUUAUCCGGAAUUACUGGGUGUAAAGGGAGCGUAGACGGUAAUGCAAGUCUGGAGUGAAAGGCGGGGGCCCAACCCCCGGACUGCUCUGGAAACUGUGUAACUGGAGUGCAGGAGAGGCAGGCGGAAUUCCUAGUGUAGCGGUGAAAUGCGUAGAGAUUAGGAGGAACACCAGUGGCGAAGGCGGCCUGCUGGACUGUAACUGACGUUGAGGCUCGAAAGCGUGGGGAGCAAACAGGAUUAGAUACCCCAGUAGUC
This 443-nucleotide ribosomal RNA is filed under the name uncultured bacterium. RNAcentral describes it as "partial 16S ribosomal RNA". It matches the Rfam family "Bacterial small subunit ribosomal RNA", at positions 338 to 795 of the family's 1533-position model. The record is from RNAcentral.